GCCAAGUUAUUAAGGGCACACGGUGGAUGCCUUGGCACCAGGAGCCGAUGAAGGACGUGGGAGGCUGCGAUAUGCCUCGGGGAGCUGUCAACCGAGCUGUGAUCCGAGGAUUUCCGAAUGGGGAAACCCGGCAGGGCUUGAAAUCCUGUCACCCGCGCCUGAACACAUAGGGCGUGUGGAGGGAACGCGGGGAAGUGAAACAUCUCAUUACCCGCAGGAAGAGAAAACAACCGUGAUUCCGCGAGUAGUGGCGAGCGAAAGCGGAUGAGGCUAAACCGAUUGCGUGUGAGAGCCGGCAGGCGUUGCGUGGUCGGGGUCGUGGGAUCGUUCGGGCGGGUCUGCCGAUCCGUCGAGGAGUGAGAAAGUGCUGUGUUAGUCGAAGGCCAUGCGAAUGGGUCACCAUAGCGGGUAACAGUCCCGUAGACGAAAACAUGGUACCUCCUGAGCGUUAUCCCAAGUAGCACGGAGCCCGUGAAAGUCCGUGUGAAUCUGGCGGGACCACCCGCUAAGCCUAAAUACUCCCUGGUGACCGAUAGCGGACUAGUACCGUGAGGGAAAGGUGAAAAGUACCCCGGGAGGGGAGUGAAAUAGUACCUGAAACCGUGUGCUUACAAUCCGUGGGAGCGGGGGCUUUGCCUCUGUGACCGCGUGCCUUUUGAAGAAUGAGCCUGCGAGUUUGCGAUGUGUGGCGAGGUUAACCUGUUGUGGGGUAGCCGUAGCGAAAGCGAGUCCGAAGAGGGCGUAUGAGUCGCAUGUCCAAGACCCGAAGCCGAGUGAUCUAUCCAUGGCCAGGUUGAAGCGCGGGUAAGACCGUGUGGAGGACCGAACCCACCAGGGUUGAAAACCUGGGGGAUGAGCUGUGGAUAGGGGUGAAAGGCCAAUCAAACUCGGUGAUAGCUGGUUCUCCCCGAAAUGCAUUUAGGUGCAGCGUUACGUGUUUCUUGCCGGAGGUAGAGCACUGGAUGGCCUAGGGGGCCUACAAGCUUACUGAAGUCAGCCAAACUCCGAAUGCCGGUAAGUGAAGCGUGGCAGUGAGACUGCGGGGGAUAAGCUUCGUAGUCGAGAGGGAAACAGCCCAGAUCGCCAGCUAAGGCCCCUAAGCGUGCGCUAAGUGGGAAAGGAUGUGGAGUCGCGGAGACAACCAGGAGGUUGGCUUAGAAGCAGCCACCCUUGAAAGAGUGCGUAAUAGCUCACUGGUCAAGUGAUUCCGCGCCGACAAUGUAGCGGGGCUCAAGCGCACCGCCGAAGCUGCGGCAUAUGCACGGUGUUUGGCUUUCUUCUUCGGGAGGGGGUCCAGGCGUGUGUAUGGGUAGGGGAGCGUCGUGUAGCGAGUGAAGCGGCAGGGUGACCUAGCCGUGGACGCUACGCGAGUGAGAAUGCAGGCAUGAGUAGCGAAAGACGGGUGAGAAACCCGUCCGCCGGAUGACCAAGGGUUCCUGGGGCAGGCUAAUCCGCCCAGGGUGAGUCGGGACCUAAGGCGAGGCCGACAGGCGUAGUCGAUGGACAACGGGUUGAUAUUCCCGUACCGGCGUUGAUGCGACCAUGCUGAACCUGGUUCGUGCUAACCGUCCG
This 1572-nucleotide ribosomal RNA is filed under the name uncultured Frankia sp. RNAcentral describes it as "bacterial LSU rRNA". It matches the Rfam family "Bacterial large subunit ribosomal RNA", at positions 1 to 1494 of the family's 2925-position model. Lineage: Bacteria; Bacillati; Actinomycetota; Actinomycetes; Frankiales; Frankiaceae. The record is from RNAcentral.